Molecule: ribosomal RNA, 813 nt
Filed under: uncultured beta proteobacterium
Lineage: Bacteria; Pseudomonadati; Pseudomonadota; Betaproteobacteria
Description: bacterial SSU rRNA
Rfam family: Bacterial small subunit ribosomal RNA
Source: RNAcentral
GCAGUCGAGCGGCAGCGCGGGGCAACCUGGCGGCGAGCGGCGAACGGGUGAGUAAUGCAUCGGAACAUGUCUUGUCGUGGGGGAUAGCCCGGCGAAAGCCGGAUUAAUACCGCAUGAGCCCGAGAGGGGAAAGUGGGGGACCGCAAGGCCUCACGCGAUUAGGUUGGCCGAUGUCCGAUUAGCUAGUUGGUGGGGUAAAGGCCUACCAAGGCGAUGAUCGGUAGCUGGUCUGAGAGGAUGAUCAGCCACACUGGGACUGAGACACGGCCCAGACUCCUACGGGAGGCAGCAGUGGGGAAUUUUGGACAAUGGGGGCAACCCUGAUCCAGCCAUUCCGCGUGAGUGAAGAAGGCCUUCGGGUUGUAAAGCUCUUUUGUCCGGAACGAAACGGGUUGCGUGAAUAGCGCCGCCUACUGACGGUACCGGAAGAAUAAGCACCGGCUAACUACGUGCCAGCAGCCGCGGUAAUACGUAGGGUGCGAGCGUUAAUCGGAAUUACUGGGCGUAAAGCGUGCGCAGGCGGUUUUGUAAGCCAGAUGUGAAAUCCCCGGGCUUAACCUGGGAAUGGCAUUUGGGACUGCAAGGCUCGAGUGCGGCAGAGGAGACUGGAAUUCCUGGUGUAGCAGUGAAAUGCGUAGAUAUCAGGAGGAAUACCGAUGGCGAAGGCAGGUCUCUGGGCUGACACUGACGCUCAUGCACGAAAGCGUGGGGAGCAAACAGGAUUAGAUACCCUGGUAGUCCACGCCCUAAACGAUGUCGACUGGUUGUUGGGGGUUUGACACUCUCAGUAACGAAGCUUACGCGUGAAGUCGA